CCGAGUUGUAAUUUGCAGAGGAUGCUUCGGGCGUGGCCGCGGUCUAAGUCCCCUGGAACGGGGCGUCGCAGAGGGUGAGAAUCCCGUCUUCGGCCGGCCGGCUUCGCCCAUGUGAAGCUCCUUCGACGAGUCGAGUUGUUUGGGAAUGCAGCUCUAAAUGGGUGGUAAAUUUCAUCUAAAGCUAAAUAUUGGUCGGAGACCGAUAGCGCACAAGUAGAGUGAUCGAAAGAUGAAAAGCACUUUGAAAAGAGAGUUAAACAGCAUGUGAAAUUGUUGAAAGGGAAGCGCUUGCGACCAGAGUCGGCCGCGGGGGUUCAGCGGGCAUUCGUUGCCCGUGCACUCCCCCGCGGGCGGGCCAGCGUCGGUUUCGACGGCCGGUCAAAGGCCCCCGGAAUGUGUCGCCUCUCGGGGCGUCUUAUAGCCGGGGGUGCAAUGCGGCCAGUCGGGACCGAGGAACGCGCUUCGGCACGGACGCUGGCUUAAUGGUCGUAAGCGACCCGUCUUGAAACACGGACCAAGGAGUCUAACAUCCACGCGAGUGUUCGGGUGUCAAACCCGUCCGCGCAGUGAAAGCGAACGGAGGUGGGAACCCUCAAGGGUGCACCAUCGACCGAUCCUGAAGUCUUCGGAUGGAUUUGAGUAAGA
RNAcentral lists this ribosomal RNA (645 nucleotides) under Blastomyces helicus. RNAcentral describes it as "eukaryotic LSU rRNA". It matches the Rfam family "Eukaryotic large subunit ribosomal RNA", at positions 138 to 799 of the family's 3401-position model. The record is from RNAcentral. Lineage: Eukaryota; Fungi; Ascomycota; Eurotiomycetes; Onygenales; Ajellomycetaceae.